Candoia aspera is the source of this 371-nucleotide long non-coding RNA. RefSeq lists it as uncharacterized. The record is from RefSeq and is a predicted model, not a curated record. Lineage: Eukaryota; Metazoa; Chordata; Lepidosauria; Squamata; Candoiidae. The transcript has 3 exons.
UGGCAACCAUCCAAAGGGCAGCCUUGAAACACGUCUGGCCUCUUCUGCAGCACCAGAAAGAUCUUGAGGGGACAGCAGCCAUCCACACCCUCAUUGCGGUGCUGAUGCACGUGGAGGAUGUUGAGGAGGAGGUGGCGAAGGCAGCAAAGGUUACCCUGCGGCACCUGGCACAGGCCCUCCAUUGGCACUGUGGGGGCACCCUCCUGGUGGGGGGAACUUACAGCCUGCAAGAGCUACUUCAUCAGAUCGCCAAGCGCCUGAUUUGGUUCCCCAUCCCAAAGUUGCAGUUGGAGAUGGAAGUGUUCACCUGCCUUUGAUACUUCAAGAGCAAGCAGGCUUCAGUGAGGAGAACGGCUGCAAUGUUCAUUGGU